UGGGGAAUCUUGCGCAAUGGGGGAAACCCUGACGCAGCGACGCCGCGUGCGGGAUGAAGGCCUUCGGGUUGUAAACCGCUUUCAGCAGGGACGAGGCCUUAUGGUGACGGUACCUGCAGAAGAAGCUCCGGCUAAAUACGUGCCAGCAGCCGCGGUAAUACGUAUGGAGCAAGCGUUAUCCGGAUUCAUUGGGCGUAAAGCGCUCGUAGGCGGUCUGUUAGGUCGGCAAGUUAAAUCCGGGGGCUCAACCCCCGUCCGCUUCCGAUACCGGCAGACUUGAGUUUGGUAGGGGAAGGUGGAAUUCCUAGUGUAGCGGUGGAAUGCGCAGAUAUUAGGAAGAACACCGGUGGCAAAGGCGGCCUUCUGGGCCAUAACUGACGCUGAGGAGCGAAAGCUAGGGGAGCGAACAGG
RNAcentral lists this ribosomal RNA (411 nucleotides) under Verrucomicrobiota bacterium. RNAcentral's name for it is "Verrucomicrobia bacterium partial 16S ribosomal RNA". It matches the Rfam family "Bacterial small subunit ribosomal RNA", at positions 355 to 776 of the family's 1533-position model. Lineage: Bacteria; Pseudomonadati; Verrucomicrobiota. The record is from RNAcentral.